This 410-nucleotide ribosomal RNA is filed under the name Parasesarma bidens (red claw crab). Its description in RNAcentral is "partial 12S ribosomal RNA". Lineage: Eukaryota; Metazoa; Arthropoda; Malacostraca; Decapoda; Sesarmidae. The record is from RNAcentral.
UUUAGAAAGAAAAAAUAAAAACUAAACUAUUAUUAGUUAUAUACUUUAAAAUUAAAAAAUUUGGCGGUGAUUUAAUCUUUUCAGAGGAAUUUGUUUUUUAAUCGAUAAUCCACGAAAAAUCUUACUUGUUUUUGUUUAUUAUAAUUCAGUUUGUAUACCAUCAUUAUCAGAUAAUUCUAAAAAGAAAAAUUAUCAAAUAUAGUUAAUUAUUGAAAUUAGAUCAUGGUGCAGCUUAUAGACAAGUUAAAAUGAAUUACAAUAAAUUGUUUUAAAUGAAUUGAUAAAAUAAUUUUUAUUAUGAAGGAGGAUUUGAUAGUAUUAUAAUUUUAAUAAGUUUAUAAGACAAUGGCUCUAAAUCAUGUACAUAUCGCCCGUCGCUUUCAUUUAUAAAUGAAAUAAGUCGUAACAUA